UGGGGAAUCUUGCGCAAUGGGCGAAAGCCUGACGCAGCGACGCCGCGUGGGUGAUGAAGGCCUUCGGGUUGUAAAGCCCUGUGGAGAGGGACGAAUAAGUUCGACCUAAUACGUCGGGCGAUGACGGUACCUCUUUAGCAAGCACCGGCUAACUCUGUGCCAGCAGCCGCGGUAAGACAGAGGGUGCAAACGUUGUUCGGAAUUACUGGGCGUAAAGCGCGUGUAGGCGGUCGUGCAAGUCGGGUGUGAAAGCCCAGGGCUCAACCCUGGAAGUGCAUUCGAUACUGCAUGGCUAGAGUCCCGGAGAGGAUGGUGGAACUCUCGGUGUAGAGGUGAAAUUCGUAGAUAUCGAGAAGAACACCGGUGGCGAAGGCGGCCAUCUGGACGGUGACUGACGCUGAGACGCGAAAGCGUGGGGAGCAACCA
RNAcentral lists this ribosomal RNA (426 nucleotides) under uncultured bacterium. RNAcentral's name for it is "bacterial SSU rRNA". It matches the Rfam family "Bacterial small subunit ribosomal RNA", at positions 355 to 774 of the family's 1533-position model. The record is from RNAcentral.